AUGAACGCUGGCGGCGUGCCUAAUACAUGCAAGUCGAGCGAACAGAUGAGGAGCUUGCUCCUCUGACGUUAGCGGCGGACGGGUGAGUAACACGUGGAUAACCUACCUAUAAGACUGGGAUAACUUCGGGAAACCGGAGCUAAUACCGGAUAAUAUAUUGAACCGCAUGGCUCAAUAGUGAAAGACGGUUUUGCUGUCACUUAUAGAUGGAUCCGCGCCGCAUUAGCUAGUUGGUAAGGUAACGGCUUACCAAGGCAACGAUGCGUAGCCGACCUGAGAGGGUGAUCGGCCACACUGGAACUGAGACACGGUCCAGACUCCUACGGGAGGCAGCAGUAGGGAAUCUUGCGCAAUGGGCGAAAGCCUGACGGAGCAACGCCGCGUGAGUGAUGAAGGUCUUCGGAUCGUAAAACUCUGUUAUUAGGGAAGAACAAAUGUGUAAGUAACUAUGCACGUCUUGACGGUACCUAAUCAGAAAGCCACGGCUAACUACGUG
Molecule: ribosomal RNA, 496 nt
Filed under: uncultured bacterium
Lineage: Bacteria
Description: partial 16S ribosomal RNA
Rfam family: Bacterial small subunit ribosomal RNA
Source: RNAcentral